UGUUAAAACUUUCAUCACUUUAUACCGCUAAAAACUAGUGUGCCUAACAAAAUAACUAGACAGUUAUACGUGGCAUGCCGCAUGUACCUUAUGCUUACGUACGAUGACCGGUUUUUAACAGUAAAAAUAGAUGAAAUUGUUAAUA
Molecule: non-coding RNA, 145 nt
Organism: Gossypium raimondii (Peruvian cotton)
Lineage: Eukaryota; Viridiplantae; Streptophyta; Magnoliopsida; Malvales; Malvaceae
Source: Rfam